Rhododendron vialii is the source of this 667-nucleotide long non-coding RNA. RefSeq lists it as uncharacterized. The record is from RefSeq and is a predicted model, not a curated record. Lineage: Eukaryota; Viridiplantae; Streptophyta; Magnoliopsida; Ericales; Ericaceae. The transcript is spliced from 2 exons.
GAUCAAAUUCAACAUGCAGAUCACAGAUCCUACUGGAAGCAUUGAAGCAACAGUCUUCUCAAAAGUUGCAUCAGAAGUCUAAAGCAUUACACCAUCAGAUGCAAUGAAUGUUCAACUGGCCCUCCCAGUGCUUCACAAACUAGGCGAACCAAAGAAAUGCAUCAUCACACUGAAGGCCUACAUAUACAACUAUGCAGGACUCAGCCAAAUAAAGUUCAACGUGCACUCCAUGUCUGCCGAAAACCUCUCAAAAGCAGCAAACCGUUCAGAAGAACUUCUUACUCUACCUCCAAACACUCCAAAUAAGAAGAGCAAAAAGGGAGAGCACAAACCAAGCAGCUCAACCUCCACUCCAGCAAUCAACACCCCAGCAGACAGUAGCCCAACAAAACACACUCCACCAACUGGAAAACUUCCAACAGCCCCAACAAGAACAAGAACAAAUAGUCGGCUUCCGUAAUCUCCAGAAUUUUACAAGCUUUUGGCAUGAAAAAUUUCCAUCAAAAGACUUUUGCUUGGUCUAACUUGCAAGAACUCUGCCUUUUCCAAUUGUAUAAAAAAAACUUGUCGCCAAAGUCGUGUAAUUAGCAACCAAAGACGGGAACAUAUCCAAAUCAUGACUGGUACAUGUAACUUUUGCUAUGAUCAAAUACUUGGUCAAACCUAA